This 180-nucleotide ribosomal RNA is filed under the name uncultured Glomeromycotina. Its description in RNAcentral is "partial small subunit ribosomal RNA". The record is from RNAcentral. Lineage: Eukaryota; Fungi; Glomeromycota.
GGGUCAGUAGGUUGGUCGUGCCACCGGUAUGCACUGGUCUCACUGAUUCCUCCUUCUUGUAGAACCGUAAUGCCAUUUAGUUGGUGUUGCGGGGAAACAGGACUGUUACUUUGAAAAAAUUAGAGUGUUCAAAGCAGGCAAUCGAGCCUUGAAUACUUCAGCAUGGGAUAAUGGAACAGG